RNA transcript from Aedes aegypti (yellow fever mosquito), 2796 nucleotides. It is a transcript of the gene named coiled-coil domain-containing glutamate-rich protein 1, with no coding region annotated. The transcript has 6 exons. The record is from RefSeq and is a predicted model, not a curated record. NCBI's taxonomy places the organism in Eukaryota, Metazoa, Arthropoda, Insecta, Diptera, Culicidae.
GUAGGAUCGUUUCGCGCGACUUGCCCAUGGGAGGAAGAGCUGAUCGUCACUGGCGGCCCGGGUCUUCGAUCAGUUGUGCAAGAUCGCUCGAAGAAAUAUGUUGGAUUUGGUCUAGCUGCUGCUCAAUUGUUUCUGCAGAAAGAUAGUGAAGCUUGCUUUCGGGAGUUCGAUCCUGACCGAGGAAUAAAAGUGCUUGUUCAGUGUCAAGGAAGAGAAUCGCGCGCAAAGUCCCGGAGAAGCAAACGAGCUCGGCGGUUCCAGUUUUCAGGAAGAGAUAGAGAGAAAUUUAAAUCAACAGAAACCAGAAGAAAAGCGGCAAAACUCGAGAUGAAGUCGAUAAUUUUAUGUGUCUCGUUUAUGCUGGCGUGCGUUGCAGGCCAACGUAUCACCACAAUCCAGCUGGAUGGCGUCCAGUAUUUCGUGAGCCGGAUGAAUCCCUACUCGCCGGAAUUGAAUUACUUCCUCGCCUACCAGUACUGCCGCUCGCUCGGUCUGCAGCUGGCCUCGUUCGAAACCAAGGAGAAGGUCGAAUCCAUGACACAGUACCUGACGAAUGCCGGCUACAGCAAGUACAACUUCUGGACGUCCGGCAACCGACUGGGCACGGGAAUGUUCCUCUGGAUGAGCACCGGUCUGCCAUUCAACGCCACCUUCGACUACUUUGAAAAGUCAUCCGAUGCCACCACCGGGCUGGACCCACUGGAUCACAACAGCAACACCUCCCCUCAGCGCACCGCUCGCGACAGCAGCAGCGGUAUCGAGCGGGGCUGCGUGCACCUGAAGGCCCCCUCCCUCCGGUGGGAACCCGAGGACUGCCUGGCGGUGAAAGAUUUCAUCUGCGAGCAAACCAGAUGCUACUACUACAACUACGGUAGCAUUCCCGUUUCGUCGGCGCAGGGGUAAAUAUAGUUCCAAUUAAAAACACAUACAAAACCAAGCAAAACUCGAAUCAAUUAAAAGCAAACAGCAAAUAGAUCCAUCACAAAUCAUCAUCAGAGAACAAACAAAAGUGAGAGAUUGAGAGACAGAGAAAUCGAGCAAAAUAAUUAAUAGCAAACCAAUCAAUAGACGAAAAAAGGCGCCAUCCGUCACGGAUCGGUGUUUCCCGGUAGCAAACAAAUGGCGGGAUUCGCAAAAUUCCACCCAGCAGAUUGAAAGACAAAUAUUUUGCAUCAAAAGUAAGAAAUGAAAAACACAAAACACUGCGAAUCGAAUUUGUUCAAAUUCCCGUUAGAGAAGAAUCAGUUUUCCGAUAGUGCGAACUCUCGAAACGAUGAAACCUCCCCCCUGCAUAGCCGUCCCAUCACCACCUCAUCAACCACCUCAUCAGGCUCACCCGUAAGCUUUACGACAGUCGAACGCAUUCCCACUACUCCAAUCCCUGUGACCUUCUCGUCAACCACCUUGGCUCCUCGUCUCGAAGAAACUUCUCCUCUGGCUGCGCUCUUGAAUGUCAACCCGAUCCCGGCAUCUCCGGAAGCCGACAGCAGCCUGGAGUCUCACAGCGAAGAGGAAGCCUUGUUGGACGAAGAAGAAGAGGAACAUGACGACGAAGAGCAUGAAAUCGAGGACGAAGACGAAUCCGAGGGACGAUCCCAGCAGGAUGACGACUCUGAAGGCCAGGAUGAACACCAACAACUACACGAAGAGGAGGAAUCCGUUCCCGAAGAACACGACAUCCCCGUUGAGCAGAAACUGAAGCAGAUCACUCGGGAAAUCGAAGAGAUGACACACUCCGACCGGGAUGUGGACAACGGACGCCAGAGCUUCCUGUCGUUGUCGGACCUGAUCAAGAACAUUCGCCCGGCCGAAAAGGUAAUCCCGCAGAUCGAUUCGUCCUACUCGAACACGAUGCGUGUCCUCGGAGAAUCCAUCACUCACGGAGAAAGCCGAGCGGUCAAAGUCUGAGCACCAUAAAUCAAUCAUCACUCCAUAAUCACCUCAUCGCACUCACACGCAAACACACUCAUCCACAACCCACACAAUCAUUGAAGCACUUACACAUCAGAUCAGAUCAUCACUCAUUUCAAGCAUCAAGUCAAUCAUCAGAUCACCCACAUCCAUGCGCACUCUGUCUCUCAUCACAUCACACACAUCGUCGCCGAUCGCUUCGCGGUGUUUUCCGCGGGACAACACCAGGGACUUUGCUUCGUCGACUGACCUUCAAGAUCCGGAAAUGACCGGAUUACGAACGCGAGCGGUUCUCCCAAUGAGACGACAACAGUCGACGAAGGUAAAAGUAGCCUCGUGAACUUCCCGAAAACACCCGACCGAAUCGGGCGAAUCGCCCUCUCAUCACUUCGCACGCGCAUUUGCAUCAUCGCAUUCAUUGAAUCAUUUCGCACCCGUCGCACCACACUCAUCAGCGAAUCAUUUCAUAUGUCAUCGCGCAUCCCAAAAACAUUCCCAAGUGAGAGAGAGAGGAACAAAUCUGAAUUUUUGAUUCACGAGAAUUUCAACACACAAGAUGAUAAUUAGUUUUACCAAGUUUAAUUCAUUUUUUUCUCGAGGAAGAAAGUGAUAAGAUUUCUUUCCGCCUAAAAAAAAGGAACUCAAGUUUACUAAGUAAAUACGAUAAACAAUAAAAAAAUACAUUAAAAUAAUGAAAAGCGAUCAAUCCAAGAGAAUGAUUAGACUGUACUGAAGUUUAGUUAGUAGGUGAAAGAAACACAACAAAAUACAACGAAUGGAUCGGAGUUAGAUCAAACGUUUGGGAAAAAAAACCUGGACAGUGAUACGGACGAGCGUUCCGUUUUAUGAAAAAGUGAAAUAAAAUAAUGUGAAUUUUUGUAAAAA